GGAAGAUUGGUGAAAUGGUAGCCACAGCGGUUUGCUAAACCGCCAUCCGAAAGGGUGUGCAAGUUCAACCCUUGCAUCUUCCGCCA
RNAcentral lists this transfer RNA (86 nucleotides) under Klebsiella pneumoniae. RNAcentral describes it as "tRNA-Ser". It matches the Rfam family "tRNA". Rfam says of the family: Transfer RNA (tRNA) molecules are approximately 80 nucleotides in length. RNAcentral also lists the same sequence under 2 other names. The record is from RNAcentral. Lineage: Bacteria; Pseudomonadati; Pseudomonadota; Gammaproteobacteria; Enterobacterales; Enterobacteriaceae.